GGGUUGUGAGGUUAAGCGACUAAGCGUACACGGUGGAUGCCCUGGCAGUCAGAGGCGAUGAAGGACGUGCUAAUCUGCGAAAAGCGCCGGCGAGGUGAUAUGAACCCUUGACCCGGCGAUGUCCGAAUGGGGAAACCCAGUGCAAUCCGUUGCACUAUCGUUAACUGAAUACAUAGGUUAACGAGGCGAACCGGGGGAACUGAAACAUCUAAGUACCCCGAGGAAAAGAAAUCAACCGAGAUUCCCCCAGUAGCGGCGAGCGAACGGGGAGCAGCCCAGAGUCUGAAUCAGCUUGUGUGUUAGUGGAAGCGUCUGGAAAGUCGCACGGUACAGGGUGAAAGUCCCGUACACGAAAAUGCACAGGCUGUGAACUCGAAGAGUAGGGCGGGACACGUGGUAUCCUGUCUGAAUAUGGGGGGACCAUCCUCCAAGGCUAAAUACUCCUGACUGACCGAUAGUGAACCAGUACCGUGAGGGAAAGGCGAAAAGAACCCCGGCGAGGGGAGUGAAAAAGAACCUGAAACCGUGUACGUACAAGCAGUGGGAGCACCUUCGUGGUGUGACUGCGUACCUUUUGUAUAAUGGGUCAGCGACUUAUAUUCUGUAGCAAGGUUAACCGUAUAGGGGAGCCGAAGGGAAACCGAGUCUUAACUGGGCGUUAAGUUGCAGGGUAUAGACCCGAAACCCGGUGAUCUAGCCAUGGGCAGGUUGAAGGUUGGGUAACACUAACUGGAGGACCGAACCGACUAAUGUUGAAAAAUUAGCGGAUGACCUGUGGCUGGGGGUGAAAGGCCAAUCAAACCGGGAGAUAGCUGGUUCUCCCCGAAAGCUAUUUAGGUAGCGCCUCGUGAACUCAUCUUCGGGGGUAGAGCACUGUUUCGGCUAGGGGGCCAUCCCGGCUUACCAACCCGAUGCAAACUACGAAUACCGAAGAAUGUUAUCACGGGAGACACACGGCGGGUGCUAACGUCCGUCGUGAAGAGGGAAACAACCCAGACCGCCAGCUAAGGUCCCAAAGUCAUGGUUAAGUGGGAAACGAUGUGGGAAGGCCCAGACAGCCAGGAUGUUGGCUUAGAAGCAGCCAUCAUUUAAAGAAAGCGUAAUAGCUCACUGGUCGAGUCGGCCUGCGCGGAAGAUGUAACGGGGCUAAACCAUGCACCGAAGCUGCGGCAGCGACGCUUAUGCGUUGUUGGGUAGGGGAGCGUUCUGUAAGCCGUUGAAGGUGGCCUGUGAGGGUUGCUGGAGGUAUCAGAAGUGCGAAUGCUGACAUAAGUAACGAUAAAGCGGGUGAAAAGCCCGCUCGCCGGAAGACCAAGGGUUCCUGUCCAACGUUAAUCGGGGCAGGGUGAGUCGACCCCUAAGGCGAGGCCGAAAGGCGUAGUCGAUGGGAAACAGGUUAAUAUUCCUGUACUUGGUGUUACUGCGAAGGGGGGACGGAGAAGGCUAUGUUAGCCGGGCGACGGUUGUCCCGGUUUAAGCAUGUAGGCGGAGGUUCCAGGUAAAUCCGGUACCUUUUAACGCUGAGGUGUGAUGACGAGGCACUACGGUGCUGAAGUAACAAAUGCCCUGCUUCCAGGAAAAGCCUCUAAGCAUCAGGUAACACGAAAUCGUACCCCAAACCGACACAGGUGGUCAGGUAGAGAAUACCAAGGCGCUUGAGAGAACUCGGGUGAAGGAACUAGGCAAAAUGGUGCCGUAACUUCGGGAGAAGGCACGCUGAUAUGUAGGUGAAGCCCCUGCGGGUGGAGCUGAAAUCAGUCGAAGAUACCAGCUGGCUGCAACUGUUUAUUAAAAACACAGCACUGUGCAAACACGAAAGUGGACGUAUACGGUGUGACGCCUGCCCGGUGCCGGAAGGUUAAUUGAUGGGGUUAGCGGCAACGCGAAGCUCUUGAUCGAAGCCCCGGUAAACGGCGGCCGUAACUAUAACGGUCCUAAGGUAGCGAAAUUCCUUGUCGGGUAAGUUCCGACCUGCACGAAUGGCGUAAUGAUGGCCAGGCUGUCUCCACCCGAGACUCAGUGAAAUUGAACUCGCUGUGAAGAUGCAGUGUACCCGCGGCAAGACGGAAAGACCCCGUGAACCUUUACUAUAGCUUGACACUGAACACUGGUCCUUGAUGUGUAGGAUAGGUGGGAGGCUUUGAAGCGUGGACGCCAGUCUGCGUGGAGCCGUCCUUGAAAUACCACCCUUUAAUGGCUGGUGUUCUAACGUAGACCCGUAAUCCGGGUUGCGGACAGUGUCUGGUGGGUAGUUUGACUGGGGCGGUCUCCUCCCAAAGAGUAACGGAGGAGCACGAAGGUUAGCUAAUCCUGGUCGGACAUCAGGAGGUUAGUGCAAUGGCAUAAGCUAGCUUGACUGCGAGAGUGACGGCUCGAGCAGGUGCGAAAGCAGGUCAUAGUGAUCCGGUGGUUCUGAAUGGAAGGGCCAUCGCUCAACGGAUAAAAGGUACUCCGGGGAUAACAGGCUGAUACCGCCCAAGAGUUCAUAUCGACGGCGGUGUUUGGCACCUCGAUGUCGGCUCAUCACAUCCUGGGGCUGAAGUAGGUCCCAAGGGUAUGGCUGUUCGCCAUUUAAAGUGGUACGCGAGCUGGGUUUAGAACGUCGUGAGACAGUUCGGUCCCUAUCUGCCGUGGGCGCUGGAGAAUUGAGGGGGGCUGCUCCUAGUACGAGAGGACCGGAGUGGACGCAUCACUGGUGUUCGGGUUGUCAUGCCAAUGGCACUGCCCGGUAGCUAAAUGCGGAAGAGAUAAGUGCUGAAAGCAUCUAAGCACGAAACUUGCCCCGAGAUGAGUUCUCCCUGAGACUUAAAGUCUCCUGAAGGAACGUUGAAGACGACGACGUUGAUAGGUCGGGUGUGUAAGCGCAGCGAUGCGUUGAGCUAACCGAUACUAAUGAACCGUGAGGCUUAACCUUACAACGCCGAAG
Molecule: ribosomal RNA, 2926 nt
Filed under: Enterobacter cloacae
Lineage: Bacteria; Pseudomonadati; Pseudomonadota; Gammaproteobacteria; Enterobacterales; Enterobacteriaceae
Description: 23S ribosomal RNA
Rfam family: Bacterial large subunit ribosomal RNA
Source: RNAcentral